This 669-nucleotide ribosomal RNA is filed under the name Cunninghamella polymorpha. RNAcentral's name for it is "partial large subunit ribosomal RNA". It matches the Rfam family "Eukaryotic large subunit ribosomal RNA", at positions 48 to 638 of the family's 3401-position model. The record is from RNAcentral. Lineage: Eukaryota; Fungi; Mucoromycota; Mucoromycetes; Mucorales; Cunninghamellaceae.
UAGCGGAGGAAAAGAAAAUAACAAUGAUUCCCCUAGUAACGGCGAGUGAAGAGGGAAAAGCUCAAAGUUGGAACCUGGUAGGCAUAGCUUACCCGGAUUGUAAACUAAAGUUUUCGAGUCGUUUAGUCAGCCAGGUAAAUAAGUCCUCUGGAAAGGGGCGACAUAGAGGGUGAAAUCCCCGUCUUUGGCCUGAGUUUUGAUUAGGCGUUUGGCUUGGAAACGAAGAGUCAGGUUGUUUGGGAAUGCAGCCUAAAAUGGGAGGUAAAUCUCUCCUAAAGCUAAAUAUUGACGAAAGACCGAUAGCGAACAAGUACCGUGAGGGAAAGAUGAAAAGCACUUUGAAAAGAGGGUCAAAAAGUACGUGAAAUUGCUGAAAGGGAACCGUAUGAAAUCAGACCUACUGGUAGGUAAUCAAUCUUUCCUUUGGGAAGGAUGCACUUGCCUACUAUGUAUGCCAGCGACAUUUUGGUUGGGAGGAAAAAAAUAAAGGAAAUGUAGCUUAGGUUUCGGCUUAGGUGUUAUAGUCCUUUAUAAAAUACUCUCGGCUGGAAUGAGGAACGCAGCAAACCGUAAGGCGAAGAUUUCAGGCGCUUAGAGGGAAUAAUUAGAGAAUUUCUGCUUCGGGUGGUGCUUUGAUUAUUACCUUUAACACGCUUGGAGUUCUUUAAU